Molecule: ribosomal RNA, 567 nt
Filed under: alpha proteobacterium JE067
Lineage: Bacteria; Pseudomonadati; Pseudomonadota; Alphaproteobacteria
Description: bacterial SSU rRNA
Rfam family: Bacterial small subunit ribosomal RNA
Source: RNAcentral
CACUGGCGGCGGCCUACACAUGCAGUCGAACGGAUCCUUCGGGAUUAGUGGCAGACGGGUGAGUAACGCGUGGGAAGCUACCUUGUGGUAGGGAACAACAGUUGGAAACGACUGCUAAUACCCUAUGAGCCCUAUGGGGGAAAGAUUUAUCGCCAUGAGAUGUGCCCGCGUUAGAUUAGCUAGUUGGUAAGGUAAUGGCUUACCAAGGCGACGAUCUAUAGCUGGUCUGAGAGGAUGAUCAGCCACACUGGGACUGAGACACGGCCCAGACUCCUACGGGAGGCAGCAGUGGGGAAUAUUGGACAAUGGGGGCAACCCUGAUCCAGCCAUGCCGCGUGAGUGAUGACGGCCUUAGGGUUGUAAAGCUCUUUCAGCAGUGAAGAUAAUGACAUUAACUGCAGAAGAAGCCCCGGCUAANUUCGUGCCAGCAGCCGCGGUAAUACGAAGGGGGCUAGCGUUGUUCGGAAUCACUGGGCGUAAAGCGUACGUAGGCGGACUGAUCAGUCANGGGUGAAAUCCCGGGGGCUCAACCCCGGAACUGCCUUUGAUACUGUCAGUCUUGAUAUC